RNAcentral lists this small RNA (520 nucleotides) under Pongo abelii (Sumatran orangutan). Its description in RNAcentral is "retained intron". Lineage: Eukaryota; Metazoa; Chordata; Mammalia; Primates; Hominidae. The record is from RNAcentral.
AAGAACCAUACGUUAUUGUUACUCUGCCAGCCCAGUCAUGGAGACUAGUAGAUUCUCAGCAAUUGCGUGUUUGAUACAUUCACGUUUCCAUUUUAAUUUUAAUACAUUUAAAAUAUUUUGAAAAUCAGGCGACAGUAUGUUGACUGCUGUCUCUGUGGCCAGAGACUGUGGAAUGAUUCUACCUCAGGAUAAAGUGAUUAUUGCCGAAGCGUUACCUCCAAAGGAUGGGAAAGUUGCCAAAAUAAAUUGGCAUUAUGCAGACUCCCUCACGCAGUGCAGUCAUCCAUCAGCAAUUGACCCAGAGGCUAUUCCGGUUAAAUUGGUCCAUGAUAGCUUAGACGAUCUUCAAAUGACUCGUUAUCAUUUUGCAAUGAAUGGAAAAUCAUUUUCAGUGAUACUGGAGCAUUUUCAAGACCUUGUUCCUAAGCUGAUGUUGCAUGGCACCGUGUUUGCCCGUAUGGCACCUGAUCAGAAGACACAGUUGAUAGAAGCAUUGCAAAAUGUUGAGUAAGUAUUGGCG